RNAcentral lists this long non-coding RNA (1643 nucleotides) under Mytilus galloprovincialis (Mediterranean mussel). The record is from RNAcentral. Lineage: Eukaryota; Metazoa; Mollusca; Bivalvia; Mytilida; Mytilidae.
AAUGUGUCUCAAACUUACUCUUUGCACAUACAUAAAGAUUUUUUUUAUUGUUAUAUAUAUAAAAAUUUAUAUCUGUUGUUUUUUCAUAAUUUAUAUGCAACUAAACAAAAAAUUGUAACUCAUACAAGACUAAGAACAAAAAUCUUUUAUUGUAGAAACUUUUAACUUUUACAUAUAUAUAUGUUUUUGAUAAACCCUUUUUAUUUGCCCACUCCAAAGAAGAGGUAAACUGUUUUUAUUUGUCUGUUUGUGUGUCCAUCCAUCUUUAUGUCCUUUCAUCCCAUUAAAUUCUACAAUGCUAUGAAUGAAAUUUCCAUUACAAAGAAACUGAAAUUAAGAGAUCCCUGCAGAAAUAUAUUAUCAGGCUUCUGGUAAACAUGUACUGUUUAUAGGGUUUUCAAAUCCAUUGUUCACCAACCUACUAUCUUUUGAUUUCAUAAAACAGGGGCAUUUUAAAUUAACUUGUUUACAUUCAGUUUUAACUAAAUGGUGUGUAGUUCAGCUAGCAAGUGAAUGUUAUUUAAUUCAUUACUUUACUGCACCAUUGUAAGUGUCUUGUGGAGAAAAAUUAUGGUCAGAUUUAAUAAGGCUGAAAAGGACAGACAAAAGUAAGCCUUUUAUUCCACAAUCAUAUUUAAGCAGCCAUGGAGAUCAUAAAAAUAUUUUGAAUCGCAAUAAAUUUUACCUUGCAACAAUAUUUGUUGGACAAAACUGAUGUUGCUCUGGUACCCACUAUAUGAUUUAUAUUCUGUUUACAAACCAGUUGCUGUUUGGAUCUUUAUUCAUUUGGAAUUGCUCAAAAUACUUCUACAAUCAUCCAAAUCAAAAUAACAUGUAAAUAAAAGGUUGAUCUAGUCAUUAUAAACAUUCCAUUAUAGUGGUAUUUAUAGAUACAAUAGGUGGGAUAUAUUACUUUAUUCAGUGUAAAACAUGAGUAUAACAUAUGUUUAUUCAGAGUAUCAUGUCUAGUUAGUGUAUCAUUCAGUGUAAGUGUAACACAUGUUUAUUUAGUGUAUCAUAAAGUGUAACACAUGUUUUUUUACUUUGCAUCAUAUGUUUAUUUAGUGCAACAUAUGUUUAUUAAAUGUAACUUGUCUGGUUUUUUUUCAACAUUGCAUCUAUCUACAAAGGUUCCCUAUUCAAUAAUUAAUGUUUAAAUUUACUGCCUAAAUUUUGCCUAAAUGUGAAAAUGGUUCAUUGUACAUUUACUGCUGGCAUUUAUGAGUGAAAAAGAGGAACUAAAAAUCUAUAUUUAGUUGGUUAAAUGAGAACCUUUUUUGAUGAUCAAGGUUUUUUUCAAGCUAUUCACAGCAGUAUAGAUGCAUUCUGUUUUUGUUUGUAAAAAAAUCUUUAAAGGUAUUUUAUUUUCUGUUAAUAAAUUAAGUGUUAAUUCAGUUUAUUCAAAGGUAUCUGUUUGUGAUGUUUCAUAUCAUUGUGAGCUUUUUAUUAUCAAAUUGUUAUAGGACACUUUGUUUUCUGGUUUUAUAGGUAUUGCUCAAAUGGCAAAAACACUACUUAUGUAUAUUGAUUUAAGGUCAAAGGUCACAUAUAACAUAUCUAAAGGAAAUCAUAUCAAUAGAAAAAUUGAUCUCUACUUAAAGUCUUUUUUUAGGAAAUUCAUUUCAUGCUAGAUAAAUGUUGUC